This 1080-nucleotide long non-coding RNA is filed under the name Podarcis lilfordi (Lilford's wall lizard). Lineage: Eukaryota; Metazoa; Chordata; Lepidosauria; Squamata; Lacertidae. The record is from RNAcentral.
AUUGUUCCACAGCUGCACCUUGCAAAAAUCUGAUCUUGCCCAUGGAAUUGAAGCUUGGGAAGCAAAAUACCCAUUUGGAUUUUCUACGCAUCUGAUAAAUUCCCAUUCAGCAGGUAAGAUUGGAACAACGAGAGAAAAACUUAGAUCCGGGAGAAUUAAUCAUUACAUGCUACAAUCAAGUUACAGGUCAGGUGAAAGUGUGGACAAGCCCUUCGUGAGCAUCCAAUGAACUACAAAGCGGAAGAGGAGCAUUGCAUGGGUCUGUGAACUUGUUCUGCCUCAGUGCAUUGGGAAUGCCAAAUUGUAGUUUCCUCUUUGAGAUUAUUAUAAAUACUUUCAAAGUACAGUGUGGGAGUGUGGCUGACAUGCAAAAACUUCUGUCAACAGAGUGAAGGAAGAAACCCAUACAGACAAAGGGCCAGGAUCAGCCUUCUGGGAAUGGGAGAAAUCUGUGAACACAGAGUUCACUUCUAGUUUUACAGCACUCUAAGAAAUAGGUAGUCAGAGAGAUGCUAAGAGAGUAUACUUCACACACACACACACACACACACACACACACACCAAUCAUUACAAAACCAAAAUGGCACCACCCAGGAAAACAAGCGAUGUGACAUAAUGUUCAUAGAACUUCAAGGUUUACAGAAAUAGAAAAAAGAAAUAUUGAGAAAACAAUUCCUAUGGGGAUAAAAUUGCUAAUUGGGUGCUAAUUUGCUACUAAAACAGGUUCAAGAUCCUUGGGAUCCUAGGGUCACAAAGCCCUAAACAACUGGGGCACAUAAGGGCUGCUGGAUUCCUUAUUCUCCACAUCAGUCCCUGGUGAGGCACUUUUAGUGCUCCCCUGAGGCUUAGUCGGGGUCCAUGUCUUUAAUGUGGCAGGUCCUGCCCUGUGGAACUCCCUGCCAAUAGAUGUCCAGCAGGAGUCAUCCUUGCUUUCUUUUAGACUUAUUUUUAAAAACAUACUGUUCAGACAGAAAUUUUGAUUUUGACAUUUUUAACAACAUGUUACUGAAGUUUUUUUAACUAGUCACUCUUGCAUUAUGUUUUUAUGUUGUGUGCUGCCUUGCUAUAUUUCCUAUGAAA